GAUGAACGCUAGCGGCAGGCCUAAUACAUGCAAGUCGAACGAGAUUAAGAGGCUUGCUUCUUAUGAAAGUGGCGCACGGGUGCGUAACGCGUAUGCAACCUACCUUAAUCAGGGGGAUAGCCCGAAGAAAUUCGGAUUAAGACCGCAUAAAAACACAGGAUAGCAUUAUCCAAUGUUCAAAUAUUUAUAGGAUUAAGAUGGGCAUGCGUGUCAUUAGCUAGUUGGCGGGGUAACGGCCCACCAAGGCGACGAUGACUAGGGGAUCUGAGAGGAUGACCCCCCACACUGGUACUGAGACACGGACCAGACUCCUACGGGAGGCAGCAGUAAGGAAUAUUGGUCAAUGGAGGGAACUCUGAACCAGCCAUGCCGCGUGCAGGAAGACAGCCCUCUGGGUCGUAAACUGCUUUUAUUCGGGAAUAAACCUUUCUACGUGUAGGAAGCUGAAUGUACCGAAGGAAUAAGGAUCGGCUAACUCCGU
Molecule: ribosomal RNA, 481 nt
Filed under: uncultured bacterium
Lineage: Bacteria
Description: partial 16S ribosomal RNA
Rfam family: Bacterial small subunit ribosomal RNA
Source: RNAcentral